This 440-nucleotide ribosomal RNA is filed under the name uncultured bacterium. RNAcentral describes it as "partial 16S ribosomal RNA". It matches the Rfam family "Bacterial small subunit ribosomal RNA", at positions 338 to 795 of the family's 1533-position model. The record is from RNAcentral.
CCUACGGGUGACAGCAGUAGGGAAUAUUGCUCAAUGGGGGAAACCCUGAAGCAGCAACGCCGCGUGGAGGAUGAAGGUUCUCGGAUUGUAAACUCUCUUUGUUAGAGAAGAUAAUGACGGUAUCUAACGAAUAAGCAACGGCGAACUCCGUGCCAGCAGCCGCGGUAAUACGGAGGCUGCCAGCGUUACUCGGAAUCACCGGGCGUAAAGGGCGCGUAGGCGGGAUAGCAAGUCAGAUGUGAAAUCCUAUGGCUUAACCAUAGAACUGCAUUUGAAACUGUUAUUCUAGAGUAUGGGAGAGGUAGGUGGAAUUCUUGGUGUAGGGGUAAAAUCCGUAGAGAUCAAGAAGAAUACUCAUUGCGAAGGCGACCUGCUAGAACAUAACUGACGCUGAUGCGCGAAAGCGUGGGGAGCAAACAGGAUUAGAUACCCCAGUAGUC